Molecule: ribosomal RNA, 253 nt
Filed under: uncultured bacterium
Lineage: Bacteria
Description: partial 16S ribosomal RNA
Rfam family: Bacterial small subunit ribosomal RNA
Source: RNAcentral
UACAGAGGGGGCAAGCGUUAUUCGGAAUUAUUGGGCGUAAAGGGCGCGUAGGCGGCCUGGCAAGUGGAAGGUGAAAUCCCUCGGCUUAACCGAGGAACUGCCCUCCAAACUGCUUGGCUUGAGUCCGGGAGAGGUGAGUGGAAUUCCCAGUGUAGCGGUGAAAUGCGUAGAUAUCUGGAGGAACACCGGUGGCGAAGGCGGCGUUCUGGACUGCAACUGACACUGAGGAACGAAAGCCAGGGGAGCAAACGGG